UGAAAUUCAGAUAAAGUGGAAGAAGACAUGUGUAUGCAGCUGAGAGGGUCGAUCGGUUUUGACGGUGGAAUAUAAACAAAAGUUUUAAAAUUUAGUGCCACUCUCUCCAUGCAACUCUUCUCUCCAAACUUCUGAGUUUUAUUUUCUCCUGCUUCUCUCUACAAAUUUUCUUUAGAAUUCCACUUAUUCAAGCCGUUUUGUUCUCUCAACAGUUCAAAUUUGAGUGUUUCUGCAGUUUGGAGCUGUUGAAUCUUUUCUCAGUUCCUGGUUUAAUCAUUGAUUUGUAGGCUGUGUUUGUGCUUGUGGGAUAGCCAAUUCAACAAAGGUUUUCCUUUGGUCCAACUAUUUUAAGAUUCAGCAGACAAAGGACUGAAUGAUAGAAAAGGCUUGAAGCUGAACCCACUUUGAAAGGGAACCUGUUGGGAUUUCAACCCCAGAGAGGAAAAAGAAGUAGAAGGGCACUUGGGGCAUGGGACCGAGAAUGAGG
Molecule: long non-coding RNA, 487 nt
Organism: Vigna radiata var. radiata (mung bean)
Lineage: Eukaryota; Viridiplantae; Streptophyta; Magnoliopsida; Fabales; Fabaceae
Exons: 3
Source: RefSeq, a predicted model, not a curated record